Molecule: ribosomal RNA, 253 nt
Filed under: uncultured bacterium
Lineage: Bacteria
Description: partial 16S ribosomal RNA
Rfam family: Bacterial small subunit ribosomal RNA
Source: RNAcentral
UACGUAGGGUGCAGGCGUUAAUCGGAAUUACUGGGCGUAAAGCGCGCGCAGGCGGUCCUUUAAGUCUGAUGUGAAAGCCCACGGCUCAACCGUGGAGGGUCAUUGGAAACUGGGGGACUUGAGUGCAGAAGAGGAAAGCGGAAUUCCACGUGUAGCGGUGAAAUGCGUAGAGAUGUGGAGGAACACCAGUGGCGAAGGCGGCUUUCUGGUCUGUAACUGACGCUGAGGCGCGAAAGCGUGGGGAGCAAACAGG